GAUGAACGCUGGCGGCGUGCCUAAUACAUGCAAGUCGAGCGAACAGACGAGGAGCUUGCUCCUCUGACGUUAGCGGCGGACGGGUGAGUAACACGUGGAUAACCUACCUAUAAGACUGGGAUAACUUCGGGAAACCGGAGCUAAUACCGGAUAAUAUAUUGAACCGCAUGGUUCAAUAGUGAAAGACGGUUUUGCUGUCACUUAUAGAUGGAUCCGCGCCGCAUUAGCUAGUUGGUAAGGUAACGGCUUACCAAGGCAACGACGCGUAGCCGACCUGAGAGGGUGAUCGGCCACACUGGAACUGAGACACGGUCCAGACUCCUACGGGAGGCAGCAGUAGGGAAGCUUCCGCAAUGGGCGAAAGCCUGACGGAGCAACGCCGCGUGAGUGAUGAAGGUCUUCGGAUCGUAAAACUCUGUUAUUAGGGAAGAACAAAUGUGUAAGUAACUAUGCACGUCUUGACGGUACCUAAUCAGAAAGCCACGGCUAACUACGUG
This 497-nucleotide ribosomal RNA is filed under the name uncultured bacterium. RNAcentral's name for it is "partial 16S ribosomal RNA". It matches the Rfam family "Bacterial small subunit ribosomal RNA", at positions 28 to 507 of the family's 1533-position model. The record is from RNAcentral.